UCAAUUAGUCUUCUUAGAACAACAGCAGCCACACAACAAAACUCUAUUGAAAGCCUCUCCCUCCCACUUCUUUCCUUUAGGGUUUUCUCAAUAACGUAGACAAGAUGUUCAGAAGAGGACCUUCGAGUAAGAGCGACAACACCAAGUUCUACGAGAUCCUCGGCGUCCCCAAGACCGCAUCACCCGAAGAUCUCAAAAAGGCUUACAAGAAAGCCGCCAUCAAAAACCAUCCCGACAAGGGUGGAGAUCCCGAGAAGGUAUGAAUCCUUCGAUCCCCUUCUGUGUAAUUCAAUAAAGUUAGCUCUUUUAUAGUUUGGUUUGGAUUCUCCGACCGGUAGAUGUCGUGUAAGAGCGUGGAUUCUUCGUAAGAUGUCCGAUUCGAUCUGAAAGGUGCGAGCUUUAGGUCAAUUGGUUGACUUUUGUUUCAUGUCUCUUUUUAGUUCAAAGAGCUAGCUCAGGCUUAUGAAGUUUUAAGUGAUCCGGAGAAGCGUGAGAUCUACGAUCAGUAUGGAGAGGAUGCACUCAAGGAGGGAAUGGGUGGUGGAGGCGGUGGGCAUGACCCCUUUGAUAUCUUCUCGUCCUUCUUUGGUGGUGGUGGUGGUAGCCCAUUUGGAGGUUAGUCUCUCUAAAAGAGUCGUUGGAUUCUCCCAUUUAACAAUAUGUUUCGCGUUUAAAAUGGAUGAUAAAAGUUGGAUGUUGUUUUUGAUUAGGUGGCAGCAGCCGUGGAAGGAGGCAGAGGCGUGGUGAAGACGUUGUUCACCCUCUGAAGGUUUCACUAGAGGAUCUUUAUCUCGGAACAACUAAGAAGCUCUCACUUUCUAGGAAUGCUUUGUGUUCCAAGUGUAACGGGUUAGUUAGUUAGUUAGUUCUACUUUCUAAGAUAUGCUUUAAAAGAGUUUGCUUUAAAAGAGUUUUGGACUGAGAUUAGUUGCUUUGUGAUGGCAGAAAGGGUUCAAAGUCUGGAGCUUCAUCGACAUGUAGUGGAUGUCAAGGAUCUGGAAUGAAGGUUUCAAUCAGGCAGCUUGGACCGGGAAUGAUUCAGCAGAUGCAGCACCCUUGUCAUGAUUGCAAAGGUACAGGAGAGACCAUCAAUGACCGUGACAGGUGUCCACAAUGCAAAGGGGAUAAGGUUGUCUCUGAGAAGAAGGUGCUUGAAGUAGCUGUUGAAAAGGGAAUGCAGCAUAGUCAGAAGAUCACAUUCAGUGGACAAGCAGAUGAAGCGGUUUGUGCUACUCACUUUGUCCUUACGUUUGGUCGUUAUAUUAUUCGUUUUUUUUACUUUGUGCUCUUUUGAAAACAGCCGGAUACAGUCACUGGAGAUAUAGUGUUCGUCAUUCAACAGAAAGAGCACCCAAAGUUCAAGAGAAAGGGAGAUGAUCUCUUUGUCGAGCACACCCUCUCUCUUACAGAAGCUCUCUGUGGGUUCCAGUUUGUCUUGACCCAUUUGGACAAAAGACAGCUUCUCAUCAAAUCCAGUCCGGGAGAGGUUGUGAAGCCAGGUACAUACUUCAAUCAUGAUCAUCCCUCUCUCAUUGUUACUAUAUCCACGAGCUUCUCUCUUUCUUACAGUGGUAUGUGUUUGGUUGAUGAUAGAUUCAUACAGGGCGAUAACCGAUGAGGGAAUGCCUAUGCACCAGAGGCCGUUCAUGAAGGGCAAGCUUUACAUCCACUUCACGGUCGACUUCCCUGACUCGCUGAGCCCUGACCAGACAAAGGCCAUUGAAGCGGUUUUGCCGAAGCCAAAGGCGGAUCUGAGCGACAUGGAAAUAGACGAAUGCGAGGAGACGACGCUGCACGAAGUGAACAUUGAGGAUGAGAUGAGAAGGAAGGCUCAAGCUCAAAGAGAGGCUUAUGAUGAUGACGAUGAUGAUGAAGAAGGCCCAGGUGGUGCUCAGCGUGUGCAAUGUGCCCAGCAGUGAUCAAACAUGCGCACUUGUAGUGAUAUUCAGCACUUGCGUUUUCUUAAACUUAUAUGUAUUAUUUUUGGGUCUUUGCUAUAAGACUUUUGCCCGAUUCUGUUGGAAGAAACUUGUCCUAAUUCAAUUUCUUGUCACAAUGUUGGUAACCCAUUCAGCAAACGCAAACGUAAAACUUGCAAACGGCACACGCUAGCACGAAGAACACAAUCAAGAUUUUGAGAAAACAAUGGUCUGGUAGAAUAAAGAAUGAGCAAUCAAAAUCGAAUAGUGUUGCUGAGUUUGUCGUGGUAAACCAUUGGCGCCACUGUUGCAAUAUAUAUACAUUUCACAAAAGUUAAUUGAAUUAUGUUCUAAAUUUCUAUAUAUACUAGAUGACUAGGUGUUUUGCCCGCACAUGUGGAUCUAAUUUUUUUGUGAACAUUUAUUAGUUUAUGUUUUAUUAAUUCAAAACCCAAAGUGAUAAUUUUUUAUUUAUAUUUUUUAAAAAAUUAAAUAAAACAUCAAAUUAUUUAUAUAUAACAAAUAUUUUUAUUUAUACAAAUGCUGUUUUAUUAAUAUUUAAUUAUAAAUAAUUUCAUAUCUUAAUUUUCAAUUUUUAUAAUAGAAAAAUAUUAUUUUAAAAUAACAAUAUAAUAUAUAAGAUAACAACACAAUAUAAUAAAAAUUAUCUUAUUAUAAUAUAUUUAGGAAUUAUCUUUUUAUAAUAAAAAAAUAUUUUUAAGAUUUUGGAUAAUUCUUAUUAUUAGUCGCGGGCAAAACACUUAGUUAUUUAUAUAUGACAAAUAUUUUUAUUUAUAUAAAUGCUUUUUUUAUUAAUAUUUAAUUAUAAAUAAUUUCAUAUCUAAAUUUUCAAUUUUUAUAAUAGAAAAAUAUUAUUUCAAGAUAACAAUACAAUAUAUAAGAUAACAACACAAUAUAAUAAGAAUUAUCUUAUUAUAAUAUAUACAGAAAUUAUCUUUUUAUAUGAUAAUUUCUUAUUUAUAUUUUUCAAAAAUUAAAUAAAACAUCAAAUUAUUUAUAUAUGACAAAUUUUUUAUUUAUACAAAUGCUUUUUUAUUAAUAUUUAAUUAUAAAUAAUUUUAUAUCUUAAUUGUCAAUUUUUAUAAUAGAAAAAUAUUAUUUCAAUAUAACAAUACAAUAUAUAAGAUAACAACACAAUAUAAUAAGAAUUAUCUUAUUAUAAUAUAUACAGAAAUUAUCGUUUUAUUUUUAAAUAUAUUUUUAGAUUUUGGAUAAUUCUUAGUUUUAAUCACUUAUAUUAUUAAAAAAUCAAAUUUGUUUUUAUUUUUUAUUAAUUUAUAUAUUUAAUUUAUUAAGGGUAUAAUUGAUAUUAACCACUCUAACUUUUAACGUGAGAGCUCCGUUGCAAAAAUUUACUUCGUAAAUAAUAGUAUAGAUAACUGGGCACUUGUUUAGAGUGAGACUUUAUACCAAUAUUUGUUCAUUAAAUGGUUUUAACAUUUUGCAACACUGCAAUUUUUAUUGACUAUAAAAUGACUAAUACAAAUGUUAGUUUCUUAAAUGUAUUAUUGUUGUUAAAGAGCAUAUUUUAAUUAUUUUUAAAAUUUAUUAUAUGCACAAAAAAAAUUAAGUUUUGCGGUUAACACAUAUCACCAAACCCGAUCGAUUGUAAAAUCAUGAAAGAGGAUCAGGUUUGCCGCUCUUGAUUUGCUUAAAGAUUAAAACGACGAAUGAUUAAAUACUUAAGAAUCAUAAAUGUGAUGUAUAAUUAAUUAUGAGAACCAAGAUGCAAAUAAAAAAUGAAACUUUAAAUUUAGAGUUUUGAGUAGAUUUGAAGUUUUAUUUCUUAGAACUUUGAAUUUGAAGUUUUGAAGUUUAUUUUAGAAUAGCAAAAAAUUCUAUAUUUGAAGUUAUAGAGUUUUUUUUUUGAGAUGCUCUAAGCAAAAAAAAAAACUAUAUAUUUUUUCUUCUUAAACAAAAGGGUGUUUCUAAUUUUCCAUAAAUGCCCAUAAGUAAGUAAGUAACCAUGCAAAGUUGAUAAAUGUCUAACUUAUAUUUUAAAAUAUAUAACAUUAGUGUAAAUUAAUCAUAGUUGGAUCUAUAUAUCUAAUAACAUGAUAUUCAUCUUAAUAUUUCCUAUCUCAUAUAUUAAUAGAAUACAUGAACUUGUUGAUGUAAUUUUCAAAUUCAUUUAUUUUCUUUAGAUUAGUGUAGAUUAAUCGUAUUUGGAUUUAUAUUUAAUAAAAUAAAACCUAACUUAACAUUUCAUAUCAAAUUUAUUAAUAGAGUACAUGAACUUGUUGAUGCAGUUUUCAAAUUCAUAUAUUUUCCUAUGAUUAUUUAGCUAAUUUUUAAAAAUAAAUUUCUCCUUUUCCUACUAGAGAAGAAUGAAUAAAAAAACAAAACAAAGUCUUUAAAUAAAAGGAAAGAUAUAAAAGGUUCUAGAGUGUUCGGCUGUCCCUACAAAGACCUGAACACAAACUCUUCUUCGAACAACUCAGCCACACAAACAAAACUCCAUCAAAAGCCUCUCCUCCCACCACUUUCCUUUAGGGUUUUCUUAAACAACGUAGACAAGAUGUUCAGAAGAGGACCUCCGAGUAAGAGCGAUAACACCAAGUUCUACGAGAUCCUCGGCGUCCCCAAGACCGCAUCACCCGAAGAUCUCAAAAAGGCUUACAAGAAAGCCGCCAUCAAAAACCAUCCCGACAAGGGUGG
This 4598-nucleotide long non-coding RNA is filed under the name Brassica napus (rape). RNAcentral's name for it is "long non-coding RNA (BNAP_LNC008852)". Lineage: Eukaryota; Viridiplantae; Streptophyta; Magnoliopsida; Brassicales; Brassicaceae. The record is from RNAcentral.